Molecule: ribosomal RNA, 410 nt
Filed under: uncultured bacterium
Lineage: Bacteria
Description: bacterial SSU rRNA
Rfam family: Bacterial small subunit ribosomal RNA
Source: RNAcentral
AAUGGGCGAAAGCCUGAUCCAGCCAUUCCGCGUGCAGGAUGAAGGCCUUCGGGUUGUAAACUGCUUUUGGACGGAACGAAAAGCCACUUUCUAAUACAAGGUGGUCAUGACGGUACCGUCAGAAUAAGCACCGGCUAACUACGUGCCAGCAGCCGCGGUAAUACGUAGGGUGCAAGCGUUAAUCGGAAUUACUGGGCGUAAAGCGUGCGCAGGCGGUUAUGUAAGACAGAUGUGAAAUCCCCGGGCUCAACCUGGGAACUGCAUUUGUGACUGCAUAGCUAGAGUACGGUAGAGGGGGAUGGAAUUCCGCGUGUAGCAGUGAAAUGCGUAGAUAUGCGGAGGAACACCGAUGGCGAAGGCAAUCCCCUGGACCUGUACUGACGCUCAUGCACGAAAGCGUGGGGAGCAAA